This 77-nucleotide transfer RNA is filed under the name Erwinia sp. CPCC 100877. RNAcentral's name for it is "tRNA-Asp". It matches the Rfam family "tRNA". From Rfam's summary of the family: Transfer RNA (tRNA) molecules are approximately 80 nucleotides in length. The record is from RNAcentral. Lineage: Bacteria; Pseudomonadati; Pseudomonadota; Gammaproteobacteria; Enterobacterales; Erwiniaceae.
GGUUCCGUAGUUCAGCUGGUUAGAAUGCCUGCCUGUCACGCAGGAGGUCGCGGGUUCGAGUCCCGUCGGGACCGCCA